GACGAAUGCUGGCGGCGUGCCUAACACAUGCAAGUCGAACGGAAAGGCUCCAGCUUGCUGGAGUACUCGAGUGGCGAACGGGUGAGUAACACGUGGGUAAUCUGCCCUGCACUCUGGGAUAAGCCUGGGAAACUGGGUCUAAUACUGGAUAUGACCUUUCUCCUUAUGGGGUUUGGUGGAAAGUUUUUCGGUGUAGGAUGAGCCCGCGGCCUAUCAGCUUGUUGGUGGGGUGAUGGCCUACCAAGGCGACGACGGGUAGCCGGCCUGAGAGGGUGAUCGGCCACAUUGGGACUGAGAUACGGCCCAGACUCCUACGGGAGGCAGCAGUGGGGAAUAUUGCACAAUGGGCGGAAGCCUGAUGCAGCGACGCCGCGUGAGGGAUGACGGCCUUCGGGUUGUAAACCUCUUUCAGCAGGGACGAAGCGUAAGUGACGGUACCUGCAGAAGAAGCACCGGCUAACUAUGUG
This 467-nucleotide ribosomal RNA is filed under the name uncultured bacterium. RNAcentral's name for it is "partial 16S ribosomal RNA". It matches the Rfam family "Bacterial small subunit ribosomal RNA", at positions 28 to 507 of the family's 1533-position model. The record is from RNAcentral.